This 229-nucleotide ribosomal RNA is filed under the name uncultured bacterium. RNAcentral's name for it is "partial 16S ribosomal RNA". It matches the Rfam family "Bacterial small subunit ribosomal RNA", at positions 568 to 796 of the family's 1533-position model. The record is from RNAcentral.
UUCGUAGGCGGUCUGUUAAGUCAGAGGUGAAAUCUAACGGCUCAACCGUUAACCUGCCUUUGAAACUGGCAGACUUGAGUAUUGGAGAGGAAAGCGGAAUUCUUGGCGUAGCGGUGAAAUGCGUGGAUAUCAAGAGGAACACCCGUGGCGAAGGCGGCUUUCUGGCCAAAUACUGACGCUGAGGAACGAAAGCUAGGGGAGCAAACAGGAUUAGAUACCCUGGUAGUCC